This is a long non-coding RNA of Herpailurus yagouaroundi (jaguarundi), 2013 nucleotides long. RefSeq lists it as uncharacterized. NCBI's taxonomy places the organism in Eukaryota, Metazoa, Chordata, Mammalia, Carnivora, Felidae. The transcript is spliced from 2 exons. The record is from RefSeq and is a predicted model, not a curated record.
CACAACCACCCAUCUCUCCCCCACCCUGUGCCUAAUGUGGUUAACGUGCGCGGAAACUCUGCGUCGCGGAACUGCCCAAUACGAUAGGAAAUAUGUGCAGAGGAAAUGCCUUCCCUGACCGCUGAAUGAAGUCUGAGACUUCAAGGGGCUGAUUGACAUUUGAGGAAAACAGUUAGUUUUUGCAUACGUGCGAUCUUCCUAGAUGAAGAAAAUUCCACAGCUGUCACCUUUGCUUGAUCAGUCCGGCUGUCCAGGAUGAAUUUAAUGCCAACCCGGGGACUGUGCGGGCCGGUCCACUCGUGUUGUGAGAAAACAGGUUACACCUUCAAACGCUUUCCUGCUCCCCGAUACCACAUGGUGCAGUCACCUCCUCGCAAAGCGCACACUGUGGCCAAUUUUUCUUUCCGUGUUUACAGAGAUAAAUGUGGGGUGAGGCGGUGGGACCUAUGGAUUGAUCAUGCGCUGUCCUGUGUGACAGGAAAAUGGGUGUUUGAUCUUGUUUUGUGCUAUAAGAAACUCUUCAGAAAUCUCCUGGAAAAAAAAAAUCUCAUAAACCUAGGUUAGUGGCCACAUAUGGGAUCCAUUAACUCCUCAUUUCUGCUUGUUCUUAGCAAAUUUUUGUCUGGUGACAACACAUGAACCUUGGGGUGUUUUUGUUUUGCUUCACACCACAGAGAACUCUGUUGACUUGCUUCAGUUUUGAGAAAAUAUGCAGCACAAAGCAGGCUGUGGUCGGGUGAAACAACGGACAGCAAGUAGAACUUGGAACGUUUGGUUCGUGGGGACGCAGGGGGACGUGUUCUUCAGAUUUCAGGGGAUUCCAGAGUUGCCGACGUUCUGGGAAGAAUCUUCCUUUCGUGGUGAAACUGAGAGACCUACGUUAAAUUCCUCUUAGAUCACAGCUAGACGUGGGUUUGAUGGUCUCAAGCCACCUUUUCACUGUACAUUCAUCCCAUAAAUAGAAGAUGAAUAAAGAUGUCAAACUCCAUCCAUAUAAUAUUCUGACACACGUGGCUGUCUCUGUGAAAGAGGAGCUGGGAUGAAGGAGGACUCAGUGGAGUCCACAGAGCCAAGGACUGCAACAUGCCUCGGUGAAUUUAAGCGCACAAAUAAGACCGUGUGGAUUACCAGCCAAUAGCUAUGGAGCUUCAGCUGUCAACCUUAUCCUGAACGGACAUUUGUGGAAGGACAAUGGUUGGGCUAGUAUAGUGUGAGUUCAACGUGGGCUACUUUCCUUAAGCCACCGUCCUUAAAUUUUGUGUUUUAAAUAGUGGUUUUCCAGGCAAACAAAGUCAGGUCUAUACUUAAAGCAAGGGGUCCCGAGACCAGAUUCAGUUCUUCACGUUCCGAGUAAAAAUACAUGGACCCCGAUUCGGGGAUUAUACUACUAAGAUUUAUUCAUCUUUCUGUGCCCUAGAUAGGAAAAGAACCAAAUCUAACAAGCAAGGAAUACACUGCCAAAUAUUGAUAAUUCCUUCUCUGGAAUACUCACAGCUAUUUUUAGUGUGUUAAUGUAAAAAGCCAGUGAGAUGAAAAGUGAAGUGAUCCGUUUCCAGAAGAAAAACCAGCCGAAUCUUCAUUAAUAAUUCCUUGUAGAAUGCUCCAUGGGCCUUUAUCUGACAGCCUGACAAGCUGAACUAAACAACAGAGACUGUAGGAAUGUAAAAGACAUAAUCUUAACACCAAACCUUCUGAAGAUUUGGCUGUCAUUUUACAUUAAAGGCAAGGGGUAAAAACCUCCAUUGAAACAGAAGGAGCUUGCAACCUGAUUAUAGUGCCAGAAUUUAGUGAGAGAAGAAAAGGCAGGCAUCUGAGUUAGCAAAUGGUGGUAUUGAAGAGUAUUGAACUAAGCUUUCUUUCCACGUCUGGCUUGGGAUUUUUGAGAGCCGAAGACGAUGAUGCGGGUAUGAUAAGACGCAACGUAGCUAUUCCUGGGCCUAGUGACAAAUCUUCGUUAUCAAUAAAAACUAUGUAACCAGUGUUGGACGCGGUAUAAAAGCUAACUCAAACACC